This 77-nucleotide transfer RNA is filed under the name Scytolyngbya sp. HA4215-MV1. RNAcentral describes it as "tRNA-Glu". Lineage: Bacteria; Bacillati; Cyanobacteriota; Cyanophyceae; Leptolyngbyales; Leptolyngbyaceae. RNAcentral also lists the same sequence under 1 other name. The record is from RNAcentral.
AGCCUCGUGGACGACUAGAGAAGUCGCUGUGCCUCUCAAACACAGAGAAGCGGGUGCAACUCCCGUCGAUGCUCCCA